This 322-nucleotide ribosomal RNA is filed under the name Kraken sp. RNAcentral's name for it is "SSU rRNA". The stretch from base 110 to 322 matches the Rfam family "Eukaryotic small subunit ribosomal RNA", at positions 741 to 955 of the family's 1831-position model. The record is from RNAcentral. Lineage: Eukaryota; Cercozoa.
GAUUUCUGGUUUGAUAUGCCUGGCCCGCCACGGUUUCGUGUGUGUGCGCCGGUGCGUGUCUGCCAUCCUUCUGGAAAACGUGUCUACCCUUCACUGGGCCGGAUGCGCGAUCCAGAUCUUUUACUUUGAAAAAAUUAGAGUGUUUAAAGCAGGCAUUUUGCUAUGAAUACAUUAGCAUGGAAUAAUAAUUUAGGACUUUGAUCCUAUUUUGUUGGUUCUAGGGUCGAAGUAAUGAUUGAUAGGGAUAGUUGGGGGUGCUCGAAUUCAGCGGCCAGAGGUGAAAUUCUUGGAUUCGCUGAAGACGAACUCAUGCGAAAGCAUU